GGUAAANUGGCUGAAAUUUAAGCGGUAAAUUGUAAAUUUAUUUAUGAAUAAUAUUCCUUUUCCU
This 64-nucleotide transfer RNA is filed under the name Ixodes auritulus. Its description in RNAcentral is "tRNA-Tyr". Lineage: Eukaryota; Metazoa; Arthropoda; Arachnida; Ixodida; Ixodidae. The record is from RNAcentral.